CAAAAUUGUUUGACUAAUCCAGCAAUUUUCAAGUGGUUUAGGUGGAAAUACAGAUUAGAUUCUCCACCUCAGACUGAAGAGCUAUGCUCUCAAGUACAGUUUAUCUCAUUCUCUGAUGUUGAGUACCUGGAAUCAGCCGUUUUCCUGUGGGCAAGGGUUAGGACUAGGCUGCAAAGGUUUGUUUGAGGAUGAGAAAGCACACAGUUAAUUCUUCAACAUUGGCUUGAAGCUAUUCAUCCACACCAUCAGUAUGGACACAAUUUACACAUGAACUACGAUUUAUGAUUUGAAAGUGAGAGCAGCCAGCCUUUCUUCUACUGACGGAUACCCAUCUGAAUUGUGGGAAGGCACUACUGGAAAUGCUAUUAUGUAUUUAUGUCCCCCUGCCAUCAUAUGUUGCAAAAGACUUGGGACAAUGUUCAAAAGCCGUGAUGGGUCCUGCUGGAAUCUGUUUGCUGUGUUUUUGAACAUUUGAUGGAACUAUGGGCUUAUUUGGGAAGAGAAAUGAUUGAAGAAUGUCACUGUGUUAUGUUUGUGUACUGGUAGCUUCUUCUUUUUUUAGGCAAGCGACAUUUUACUGAUCUUUGGCUGUAAUUAAAGAGUUGGUGUAUGAAAAGCUAUUGGAUAGGCAAGAAAUGGAUGACUUGCUGCAGAUGGUACUAGCUUUGGUGUGCAAUUCACACCUUUUUUUUUUUUUUUUAUAAAUGAAAUAUUCUUUUGCGACGGCAAA
Long non-coding RNA from Rosa chinensis, 730 nucleotides. RefSeq lists it as uncharacterized. Lineage: Eukaryota; Viridiplantae; Streptophyta; Magnoliopsida; Rosales; Rosaceae. The record is from RefSeq and is a predicted model, not a curated record. The transcript has 5 exons.